Molecule: ribosomal RNA, 492 nt
Filed under: uncultured bacterium
Lineage: Bacteria
Description: partial 16S ribosomal RNA
Rfam family: Bacterial small subunit ribosomal RNA
Source: RNAcentral
AUUGAACGCUGGCGGCAUGCUUUACGCAUGCAAGUCGAACGGUAACAGGCCUUCGGGUGCUGACGAGUGGCGAACGGGUUGGUAAUGCAUCGGAACGUGCCCAGAGGUGGGGGAUAACGCAGCGAAAGCUGUGCUAAUACCGCAUGUGAUCUGAGGAUGAAAUCGGGGUACCAGGCAGCACUGUUUGGCCUCGCGCCUUUGUAGCCGCCGAUGUCAGAUUAGGUAGUUGGUGGGGUAAAGGCCUACCAAGCCGACGAUCUGUAGCUGGUCUGAGAGGACGAGUAGCCGCACUGGGAAUUAGGCACGGCCUAGCGUCCGACGGUAGGCAGCAGUGUGGAACUUUAGACAAUGGGCGCAAGCCCGAUACAGCAAUGCCGAGUGAGGGAAGAAGGCCUUGCGAUUGUAAACCGCUUGUGUACGGAACGAAAAGGCUCUGGCUAAUACCUGAUGUUGAUGACGGUAGCGUAAGAAUAAGCAACGGCUAGCUACGUG